RNAcentral lists this ribosomal RNA (3013 nucleotides) under Enterococcus durans. RNAcentral describes it as "23S ribosomal RNA". It matches the Rfam family "Bacterial large subunit ribosomal RNA". Lineage: Bacteria; Bacillati; Bacillota; Bacilli; Lactobacillales; Enterococcaceae. The record is from RNAcentral.
GGUUAAGUGAAUAAGGGCGCACGGUGGAUGCCUUGGCACUAGGAGCCGAUGAAGGACGGGACUAACACCGAUAUGCUUUGGGGAGCUGUACGUAAGCUAUGAUCCAGAGAUUUCCGAAUGGGGAAACCCAACAUCUUUUAUAGGAUGUUACGUUUGCGUGAAUACAUAGCGCAUUCGAGGUAGACGCAGAGAACUGAAACAUCUAAGUACCUGCAGGAAGAGAAAGAAAAUUCGAUUCCCUGAGUAGCGGCGAGCGAAACGGGAAAAGCCCAAACCAAUGAGCUUGCUCAUUGGGGUUGUAGGACUCCAAUAUGGUAGUUCUUUCAGAUAAUCGAAUGACUUGGAAAAGUCAGUCAAAGAGGGUAAAAACCCCGUAGAUGAAAUUUGGAAGGCACCUAGGAGGAUCCUGAGUACGGCGGAACACGAGGAAUUCCGUCGGAAUCCGGGAGGACCAUCUCCCAAGGCUAAAUACUCCCUAGUGACCGAUAGUGAACCAGUACCGUGAGGGAAAGGUGAAAAGCACCCCGGAAGGGGAGUGAAAUAGAACCUGAAACCGUGUGCCUACAACAAGUCAAAGCCCGUUAAUGGGUGAUGGCGUGCCUUUUGUAGAAUGAACCGGCGAGUUACGAUUGCAUGCGAGGUUAAGUCGAAGAGACGGAGCCGCAGCGAAAGCGAGUCUGAAUAGGGCGUUUGAGUAUGUAGUCGUAGACCCGAAACCAUGUGAUCUACCCAUGUCCAGGUUGAAGGUGCGGUAAAACGCACUGGAGGACCGAACCCACGUACGUUGAAAAGUGCGGGGAUGAGGUGUGGGUAGCGGAGAAAUUCCAAACGAACUUGGAGAUAGCUGGUUCUCUCCGAAAUAGCUUUAGGGCUAGCCUCGGAUUUGAGAAUGAUGGAGGUAGAGCACUGUUUGGACUAGGGGCCCAUCUCGGGUUACCGAAUUCAGAUAAACUCCGAAUGCCAUUCAUUCAUAUCCGGGAGUCAGACUGUGAGUGAUAAGAUCCAUAGUCGAAAGGGAAACAGCCCAGACCACCAGCUAAGGUCCCAAAAUAUAUGUUAAGUGGAAAAGGAUGUGGGGUUGCACAGACAACUAGGAUGUUGGCUCAGAAGCAGCCACCAUUUAAAGAGUGCGUAAUAGCUCACUAGUCGAGUGACCCUGCGCCGAAAAUGUACCGGGGCUAAACAUAUUACCGAAGCUGUGGAGUACACCAUUAGGUGUAUUGGUAGGAGAGCGUUCUAAGGGCGUUGAAGGCAGAUCGUGAGGACUGCUGGAGCGCUUAGAAGUGAGAAUGCCGGUAUGAGUAGCGAAAGACAGGUGAGAAUCCUGUCCACCGAAUGACUAAGGUUUCCUGGGGAAGGCUCGUCCGCCCAGGGUUAGUCGGGACCUAAGCCGAGGCCGACAGGCGUAGGCGAUGGACAACAGGUUGAUAUUCCUGUACUCGUUGUUUUUGUUUGAGCAAUGGAGGGACGCAGGAGGCUAAGGAAUGCAGACGAUCNNNNNNNNNNNNNNNNNNNNNNNNNNNNNNNNNNNNNNNNNNNNNNNNNNNNNNNNNNNNNNNNNNNNNNNNNNNNNNNNNNNNNNNNNNNNNNNNNUCGGAAAUGUCUGUCCAAGCAGUAAGUCUUGAUAGGAGUCAAAUGCUUCUGUCUACACGGAUAAGCUGUGAUGGGGAGGGAAAUAAUAGUACCGAAGUUCCUGAUGUCACACUGCCAAGAAAAGCUUCUAGUGAGAAAACAAUGACCCGUACCGCAAACCGACACAGGUAGUCGAGGAGAGAAUCCUAAGGUGAGCGAGAGAACUCUCGUUAAGGAACUCGGCAAAAUGACCCCGUAACUUCGGGAGAAGGGGUGCUGAUCUUCGAUCAGCCGCAGUGAAUAGGCCCAAGCGACUGUUUAUCAAAAACACAGGUCUCUGCAAAAUCGUAAGAUGAAGUAUAGGGGCUGACGCCUGCCCGGUGCUGGAAGGUUAAGAGGAGUGCUUAGCGUAAGCGAAGGUACGAAUUGAAGCCCCAGUAAACGGCGGCCGUAACUAUAACGGUCCUAAGGUAGCGAAAUUCCUUGUCGGGUAAGUUCCGACCCGCACGAAAGGCGUAACGAUUUGGGCACUGUCUCAACGAGAGACUCGGUGAAAUUUUAGUACCUGUGAAGAUGCAGGUUACCCGCGACAGGACGGAAAGACCCCAUGGAGCUUUACUGUAGUUUGAUAUUGAGUGUCUGUACCGCAUGUACAGGAUAGGUAGGAGCCGUAGAAAUCGGAACGCUAGUUUCGAUGGAGGCGCUGGUGGGAUACUACCCCUGCGUUAUGGCCACUCUAACCCGCACCACUGAUCGUGGUGGGAGACAGUGUCAGAUGGGCAGUUUGACUGGGGCGGUCGCCUCCUAAAAGGUAACGGAGGCGCCCAAAGGUUCCCUCAGAAUGGUUGGAAAUCAUUCGAAGAGUGUAAAGGCAGAAGGGAGCUUGACUGCGAGACCAACAAGUCGAGCAGGGACGAAAGUCGGGCUUAGUGAUCCGGUGGUUCCGCAUGGAAGGGCCAUCGCUCAACGGAUAAAAGCUACCCUGGGGAUAACAGGCUUAUCUCCCCCAAGAGUCCACAUCGACGGGGAGGUUUGGCACCUCGAUGUCGGCUCGUCGCAUCCUGGGGCUGUAGUCGGUCCCAAGGGUUGGGCUGUUCGCCCAUUAAAGCGGCACGCGAGCUGGGUUCAGAACGUCGUGAGACAGUUCGGUCCCUAUCCGUCGCGGGCGUUGGAAAUUUGAGAGGAGCUGUCCUUAGUACGAGAGGACCGGGAUGGACUUACCGCUGGUGUACCAGUUGUUCUGCCAAGGGCAUUGCUGGGUAGCUAUGUAGGGAAGGGAUAAACGCUGAAAGCAUCUAAGUGUGAAGCCCACCUCAAGAUGAGAUUUCCCAUUUCUUUAAGAAAGUAAGAUCCCUGAGAGAUGAUCAGGUAGAUAGGUCAGGAGUGGAAGGCCAGUGAUGGUUGGAGCGGACUGAUACUAAUCGAUCGAGGACUUAACCAA